Molecule: long non-coding RNA, 1041 nt
Organism: Oreochromis niloticus (Nile tilapia)
Lineage: Eukaryota; Metazoa; Chordata; Actinopteri; Cichliformes; Cichlidae
Exons: 3
Source: RefSeq, a predicted model, not a curated record
CAGUGUGUCAUCUGGAAGUACGGAUUAGGUUUGGAUGUGCACAAACAUGAAAUGCUGACAGGACCCGUCAGGAUCACAGCGGUUUUUUUGAAGAGAGAUGAGAGAAAAAAUACAUCACAGUACCUCCGGCCAUGCUUGUUCUGGCUAUUGUGAUGUUAGGGUUAGGGAUGUGUUCACUGUUUUCUAAUGAAGUGUGUAAAUCUUUAAUAAUGUUUAUUUGCUUGGGUAUUUUAGGAGUGUUUUUCUAAACAUGGAGAAAAAAGAUGGAAGAAACCGAUCUGAAUUUCCCGUCUCCUGCCUCCGAUGAUCACUGUGACCUCAGAGGGCAACUGGUCUGCAAAGCUGGAACUGGAGUGAGGGAGAGAGGAGUCAUCAUCCAGCCUGAAAGAAAACAUCCGGCUGAUCAGCAGGAGGAGAAAAGUCUGAGGGAGCAGCAGAGGAACAUUUUCAGCCGUUUGCACUCAGCUCAGCUACUACAGAGAAAAUGAUGAGCUCAACACAGAAGGACCAACACAGACCGAAAAGUCAGCGCUCUCAGGAGGCCGACAAACCUCACAGAAGAAAGAGAGAGAAAAACUACAGCUGUGACGAGUGUGGGAAGGAUUUUUCUCGCAAAGCUUCACUAACAACGCUUCAAGUCAUGCACACUGGAGAGAGACCGUUCAGCUGUGACUUGUGUGGAAAGUCUUUUCCCUGGGAUAGUUGCCUAAGAAAACACCAACUCUUCCACAGAGGAGUUAAAGCAUACAGCUGUGAUCAGUGUGACAGAGCUUUUGAUUGCAGUUGCAGCUUACAGAGGCAUCUGGUUACCCACUCUGGAACUCAGGCAUAGAGCUGUGACAUUUGUGGAAAAACUUUCAGUCGGCGAGACAGCCGAAAUAGACACCUACGCAUUCACACCAGACAUGUUGUGUACUGGUGUGAUCAGCGUGGCAAACGGUUUGUAACAGAUGUACAGUUACAAAGCCACAUGUUUACCCACACUGAGGAGAAACCUUAUAAAUGUGACCUGUGUGAGAAGACUUUUAAAUCUCCACGUUA